UUAAACACACCUCCAACAUCCAAUGAAUACAGAAUCAUCAGAGCUACUGAGUCUGACAGUGGAGGAUACAGCUGCCGGGGCAGAAGGGACUAUUUCUUCUCAGAGUGGAGUGAUAUCAUCACACUGACUGUAUCAUAUAAACCAAAGGCCAAACUGAGAGCUGAUAACACAGCUGUUCCA
Molecule: long non-coding RNA, 180 nt
Organism: Oreochromis niloticus (Nile tilapia)
Lineage: Eukaryota; Metazoa; Chordata; Actinopteri; Cichliformes; Cichlidae
Exons: 2
Source: RefSeq, a predicted model, not a curated record